UGGGGAGUAACUUAAAGAAGGCAAGAGUGGUGGCGUCCAAAGUCAUUGGUGUAGGUUCAAGUCCUGUCUUCCCAGCC
RNAcentral lists this transfer RNA (77 nucleotides) under Galdieria phlegrea. RNAcentral's name for it is "tRNA-Trp". It matches the Rfam family "tRNA". From Rfam's summary of the family: Transfer RNA (tRNA) molecules are approximately 80 nucleotides in length. Their secondary structure includes four short double-helical elements and three loops (D, anti-codon, and T loops). Lineage: Eukaryota; Rhodophyta; Bangiophyceae; Galdieriales; Galdieriaceae. The record is from RNAcentral.